UACGGAGGGGGCUAGCGUUGUUCGGAAUUACUGGGCGUAAAGCGCGCGUAGGCGGUUUUUCAAGUCAGAGGUGAAAGCCCGGUGCUCAACACCGGAAUAGCCUUUGAAACUAGAAGACUUGAAUCCAGGAGAGGUGAGUGGAAUUCCGAGUGUAGAGGUGAAAUUCGUAGAUAUUCGGAAGAACACCAGUGGCGAAGGCGGCUCACUGGACUGGUAUUGACGCUGAGGUGCGAAAGCGUGGGGAGCAAACAGG
RNAcentral lists this ribosomal RNA (253 nucleotides) under uncultured bacterium. RNAcentral describes it as "partial 16S ribosomal RNA". It matches the Rfam family "Bacterial small subunit ribosomal RNA", at positions 524 to 776 of the family's 1533-position model. The record is from RNAcentral.